AAUAGUCAAUCUUUCGGAUUAAUAGAUGUGUAUGGGUGUUCGCGCGCGCGCGCGCGUGUGUGUGUGUGUGUAUAUUGUUGUUCCGUAAGUGUAGAACUAUAUAUAUUAUAUAUCUGACGUAAUUUAAUAAUUAUAGAUCACCCGACGUACAAUCGGCCUUUCAACGACCUUUAAACGGCCUAGCUGAUGUACUUGGUUUAUCUGCGAUAACAAAGCGAGCUUAUGUUUUCUAUAUACCUAUUUGAAGUGGGGUGAAGAGAUAGUGGUCUCGGUAAGCUGCAGAGCUAACACGGCGCUAAGGAAUUUCAAUUCUGAAAGUGAGUUUGUCCCCAAUGCGAACGGUCUCAACUUCCCGGGCCCUGCUAUCCAAAAUACGAAUCCUUGGAGGCGGUGCUUCUGGUGCGCUCGUAAUGCUGAUCAUUUCCGGAUCCCUGAUCGGCAUCAUCCCAAAUGUUAUGUUCUUCGACGACAUGUCGUAGGUACAUUUGACUUUGUAAAUCUUGUCUGCUUUCGUCAUUACGACCGAAUGAUGUUGCAGUACAACCGUGUUCGAGUAUAUACCCGUCUGAAAACCGUCACGC
Molecule: unclassified non-coding RNA, 581 nt
Filed under: Athalia rosae (coleseed sawfly)
Lineage: Eukaryota; Metazoa; Arthropoda; Insecta; Hymenoptera; Athaliidae
Description: misc RNA ENSAEAG00005009893.1
Source: RNAcentral